GCAAACGCAUUAAGCACUCCGCCUGGGGAGUACGACCGCAAGGUUGAAACUCAAAGGAAUUGACGGGGGCCCGCACAAGCGGUGGAGCAUGUGGUUUAAUUCGAAGCAACGCGAAGAACCUUACCAGGUCUUGACAUCCUUUGACCACUCUAGAGAUAGAGCUUUCCCUUCGGGGACAAAGUGACAGGUGGUGCAUGGUUGUCGUCAGCUCGUGUCGUGAGAUGUUGGGUUAAGUCCCGCAACGAGCGCAACCCUUAUUGUUAGUUGCCAUCAUUUAGUUGGGCACUCUAGCGAGACUGCCGGUGACAAACCGGAGGAAGGUGGGAGAUGACGUCAAAUCAUCAUGCCCCUUAUGACCUGGGCUACACACGUGCUACAAUGGGUAAGUACAACGAGUCGCUAGACCGCGAGGUCAUGCAAAUCUCUUAAAGCUUCUCUCAGUUCGGAUUGCAGGCUGCAACUCGCCUGCAUGAAGCCGGAAAGUCGCUAGUAAUCGCGGAUCAGCACGCCGCGGUGAAUACGUAGGUCCCGGGCCUUGUACACACCUGCCCGUCACACCACGAGAGUUUGUAACACCCGAAGUCUGGUGAGGUAACCUUUGGCUCAAUUGGAGCCAGCCGCCUGAAGGUGGGAUAGAUGA
This 640-nucleotide ribosomal RNA is filed under the name Enterococcus faecalis. Its description in RNAcentral is "bacterial SSU rRNA". It matches the Rfam family "Bacterial small subunit ribosomal RNA", at positions 851 to 1474 of the family's 1533-position model. The record is from RNAcentral. Lineage: Bacteria; Bacillati; Bacillota; Bacilli; Lactobacillales; Enterococcaceae.